GACGAACGCUGGCGGCGUGCCUAACACAUGCAAGUCGAGCGAAUGAAAUUCCUUCGGGAACGGAUUUAGCGGCGGACGGGUGAGUAACACGUGGGCAACCUGCCUCAUAGAGGGGAAUAGCCUUCCGAAAGGGAGAUUAAUACCGCAUAAGAUUGUAGUACCGCAUGGUACAGCAAUUAAAGGAGCAAUCCGCUAUGAGAUGGGCCCGCGGCGCAUUAGCUAGUUGGUGAGGUAACGGCUCACCAAGGCGACGAUGCGUAGCCGACCUGAGAGGGUGAUCGGCCACAUUGGGACUGAGACACGG
RNAcentral lists this ribosomal RNA (304 nucleotides) under uncultured bacterium. Its description in RNAcentral is "bacterial SSU rRNA". It matches the Rfam family "Bacterial small subunit ribosomal RNA", at positions 28 to 329 of the family's 1533-position model. The record is from RNAcentral.